This 729-nucleotide ribosomal RNA is filed under the name uncultured bacterium. RNAcentral's name for it is "bacterial SSU rRNA". It matches the Rfam family "Bacterial small subunit ribosomal RNA", at positions 136 to 851 of the family's 1533-position model. The record is from RNAcentral.
GUCUGGGAUACCACUUGGAAACAGGUGCUAAUACCGGAUAACAACAAUAGCUGCAUGGCUAUUGUUAAAAGGCGGCGAAAGCUGUCGCUAAAGGAUGGACCCGCGGUGCAUUAGCUAGUUGGUAAGGUAAUGGCUUACCAAGGCGACGAUGCAUAGCCGAGUUGAGAGACUGAUCGGCCACAUUGGGACUGAGACACGGCCCAAACUCCUACGGGAGGCAGCAGUAGGGAAUCUUCCACAAUGGGCGAAAGCCUGAUGGAGCAACGCCGCGUGAGUGAAGAAGGUUUUCGGAUCGUAAAGCUCUGUUGUUGGUGAAGAAGGAUAGAGGUAGUAACUGGCCCCUAUUUGACGGUAAUCAACCAGAAAGUCACGGCUAACUACGUGCCAGCAGCCGCGGUAAUACGUAGGUGGCAAGCGUUGUCCGGAUUUAUUGGGCGUAAAGCGAGCGCAGGCGGAAAGAUAAGUCUGAUGUGAAAGCCCCCGGCUUAACCGAGGAAUUGCAUCGGAAACUGUGUUUCUUGAGUGCAGAAGAGGAGAGUGGAACUCCAUGUGUAGCGGUGGAAUGCGUAGAUAUAUGGAAGAACACCAGUGGCGAAGGCGGCUCUCUGGUCUGUAACUGACGCUGAGGCUCGAAAGCAUGGGUAGCGAACAGGAUUAGAUACCCUGGUAGUCCAUGCCGUAAACGAUGAGUACUAAGUGUUGGGAGGUUUCCGCCUCUCAGUGCUGCAG